This 69-nucleotide transfer RNA is filed under the name Crioceris asparagi (common asparagus beetle). RNAcentral's name for it is "tRNA-Gln". It matches the Rfam family "tRNA". Rfam says of the family: Transfer RNA (tRNA) molecules are approximately 80 nucleotides in length. Their secondary structure includes four short double-helical elements and three loops (D, anti-codon, and T loops). Further hydrogen bonds mediate the characteristic L-shaped molecular structure. tRNAs have two regions of fundamental functional importance: the anti-codon, which is responsible for specific mRNA codon recognition, and the 3' end, to which the tRNAs corresponding amino acid is attached (by aminoacyl-tRNA synthetases). tRNAs cope with the degeneracy of the genetic code in two manners: having more than one tRNA (with a specific anti-codon) for a particular amino acid; and 'wobble' base-pairing, i.e. permitting non-standard base-pairing at the 3rd anti-codon position. Lineage: Eukaryota; Metazoa; Arthropoda; Insecta; Coleoptera; Chrysomelidae. The record is from RNAcentral.
UACAUUUUAGUAUAAGAAGUACGGAGGUUUUUGAAGCCUUAAGCGGGGGUUUAACUCCCUCAGAUGUAU